Molecule: long non-coding RNA, 4445 nt
Organism: Macadamia integrifolia
Lineage: Eukaryota; Viridiplantae; Streptophyta; Magnoliopsida; Proteales; Proteaceae
Exons: 5
Source: RefSeq, a predicted model, not a curated record
GCCUCAAACAACUUCUCUAUGAUGUGGAUGACAUACUGGAUGCGUUUGCCACUGAAGUUCUACGGCUGAAAUUGAAAUAUGAAAAUCAGACCCACCUUCGCCAAACCCAACAGGGAAUUGGAAGGUUUGGAUCAAAAGUAAGGGAAGAUGAGAGUUUAAAAAGUAUAGCCCAAGAAGGUAUUGUUCUAGGUUUGAAUCCUAGCAUAGCAUCUGGGUCCUCAAGGCCCAAGGUAUUAAGUCAGAGGCCACGGACGAGUUCUUUGGUGAAUAGUUCUAAAGUUUUUGGCAGAGAGGAAGAUACAUGGAAGAUUGUUAAAUGGCUGCUAUUAUACAAAACUCUAAGUCAUCCGGGUAACACUGGUAGUAAUUUCUUCGGUGCUUUCCAUAAUAGGCAUGGGUGGAAUUGGAAAGACGGACCUUGCUCAACUUGUUUAUAAUGAUGACAUGAGGAAUGAGAACUAUGGAAGAUGGGAUGCUUUAAGCAGCGCCUCCUCAUUUCCUCAUUUGGUGAAUGAGGAAGCAAGAUAUUGGUUACAAUAGGGAACAAAGGGGUGUAUCAAUUGUGCGCACUGAUCCAAACAAUCAUGAUCAUGAUUUCAUCAUCUGAUGAUGCGAAUGAAAGUUGGAAGUAUUUGGUGAACAAGUUUUGAAGAAAUGUUAGGGUUUAUCUUUGGCUAUAAAGACACUGGCUGGUGUCUUGGGAGAUAAAGGGGAGAAUUGUGAGUGGGAAAAAUAUUUUGGAGAGUGAAAUAUGGGAUUUAAGGGACAGUACUAAUAUCAUUCCAUCACUUGUGUUGAGCGAUCAUCAUCUUCCUCUGCAUCUGAUGAGGCGCUUCACAUAUUGUGCUUUAUUUCCCAAGGACUACGAAUUCGACAAGAGUUCGUAGGAUUAUGGAUGGCAGAAGGUAUUGUGCAAUCGAAAGGAAAGAAACGGCUUAAAGAUAUAGGAGUAGGGUAUUUCGACGAUCUCUCUAUGAAGUCUUUCUUUGACACAUCUAAGACUCGUCCUUAUGAAAAAAUAUACAAGUCGACUUGGAAAUGCUAUGAUAUGUGGUGGUGUAUGAAUGGGGUUACCUAUACUGACGACUACUUUUCUGAGAAUGAUGAUAGAUAUUCAUAUCAUGACUUAUUACAAUGUUUUGGCAUUGAGUCCUUUUCUGAAUCAACUAAAAUUUCUGGAUCAUCAAAGUUUGUGGAAUAUUACAAGAUGAAAAAAUUGUUUGACUCUCAACAUCAAUCACUUCAUGAUUGCAACUCAAACGUCGACGAUGGUGGUGAAGUAGAAUUCCAUUGGCUUAAUGAGCUAUAUGUCUUUAGAUGUCCCAACAUGAAGAAAUUACCACACACCCUUCCUUCCUUGGUGAAACUUGCAAUAGAAGCUUGUGAAGAACCCUCUUUCCUUCCAAUGCUGCCAUCAUUCGAGAGGUUGCUGUUAGGGCAAUGCAGUGAAAUGGUACCUGGGAAGGUGUCUGAUUUAUCAUCACUUUCAUCCUUAUGCAUGAAAGGUAUUUUAAAUCUGUCUUCGCUACCUGGUGGAUUCUUCCAACACCUAACAGCCCUUCAACAAUUAGAAAUUACAUAUUGUCUUGCUCUUGAGUCCUUUCCAGACAUAAGGUUACCUAGCACACUUCAGGAGCUAUCGAUUUAAAUUGUGGGAAGCUGAAUUCCUUGCCUAAGGGACUGCAUGAACUCACAAAUCUCCAACAAUUAAAAAUUAGAGGUUGUCUUAUUGUCAAGUCCUUUCCAGACAUGGGGUUACCCAUCACACUUCGGACACUUCGAUUUCAAAUAGUGGGAAGCUGAAUUUCUUGCCCAAGGGACUGCACAAACUCACAAAACUCCAACAAUUAGAAAUUGGAGAUUGUCUUGCUCUUGAGUCCUUUCCAGACAUGGGAUUACCCAGCACACUUCGGGACCUAUGGAUUUUAAAUUGUGGGAAGCUGAAUUCCUUGCCCAAGGGACUGCACAAACUCACAAAUCUCCAACAAUUGAACAAUUUGGGAUGCUCUUUUCUUAUGGAGUGCAAUAACCCCUGUAUACCUUGGGCCUUCAUAAUCUCACCUCUCUUUCAGAUCUCACUGUUGGUGGAUGUCCUGCUCUCAUGUCCAUUCCAAAGGGCCUGCUUCCGAACAAUCUUAGGAAAUUUUAGAUCUAUGGCUGCCUGAUUCUUGAAUCCUUACAUGAUGGACUCUCUAACCUAACCUCUCUUGAAGGUUUGGAGAUUGUAAAUUGUCUAAUGCUAAACCAAUUGUACCAAAAGAAGGAAGGAGAACUGUGGUCCAAGAUUGCCCAUAUCCCUACCAUAAUGAUAGAUUUGCAACGUCAAUAAAUCCUAACCGCCAACUAUGGGCAUUCCCUUUCACAACAAAACCCAAUGAUGGAAUACUACAGAGUACUGACGGAUAUGUCUAUAAUGCAGUAACACAGUAAAAGCAUAGAUGCAAUGCAACCAAUUGAAUGAGGUGAAUGACAAGAUGUGAAGAGCAUGACUGAAUGAUGGAACAGAUAUCAGGGGCAGAUUAUUAUUACUGAGAGAAAUCGCUUCUCUUUGAAAAUGCUCAAGAAUCCAAACAACGUGAUAAAGCAGUUGCGUGCGACAUUUCAACUAAUUAGCAUUCUGUAGCAUUGAAUCUAUAGGUUAUCACUUAUCAGCCGCCAGUUAGUUUCUGCCAACACUAAGGCUUCAAUUGGUCAUAAUAAAUGAUGAAAGUUAUACAAUGGAGGAAUCUGUUCUAUAAGUCAUUCUUACACUAGUGGGUAGGUUUAAUUGUUCUCUCUCUAUUCCAAAUCUUUGCAGAAUUAUUGGAAAGCAAAAAUUGUGGUGUUGAUUAAUUCUAUUCUCACUUGAGUCUCACUUACACAGGCGGAUCUGUCUUGUUUUCGCCAACUUUCUCUUGCUUGACUGUAUUAUGCAAGUAAGGCAGACGUUUUGUGCUUAAUACAUUUAUGCAUUUUAACCUCCUUAAAUUUACCAUGCUAGUAGUAACCCUCCUAAAUUUGUGGACUCCUACCUAAAUUGUUCCUCUGUAAUCUUAACUCAUGGUCCCUUUCCUCUUUAUCUGAUAGACAUGCUGGGAAACUCUCUGUGGGUACAAUCUUUUUCUUCAUAAGUUAAAUAACCUCCUUUCCAUUUUAGACUUAAAUGUAAUAUUGAUUGUGGCAUUAUAGGCAGCUAUGACUUGUUUUGUUUUGUUCAGUAAAAGUAAGAGAUACGAGGAGGAGGGGUUUAUUUUCUAUACUCCCUCUCUCCUCUCUCAAGGACACAUGCAUAUAUAGAUCCCCCACCCCAAUUUGACUUCUAGAGAUUGUUGCUUUGGAGUCUAUUGGAGUUUUAAUAAAUAUAAGUUGGUCUAAGCUAAAAGCUACUCAAGUUGUGCAAAAGCUUCACAUAAGCCAUGGAUUGUAUUUGAUGAGUCUACAGCCAGGAUUUGAUCCCAAGACUAGAGUAAACCUUGUAAACACCUCCUUUCACUUGGAAAUUAAUGUCAAUUCUAUGACACAUCUUUAUUCAAGCAGACUUUCUAAAAUGAAAAGCUAUUACUUGUUCACUGUUGGCUAUGUAUUUCUUUACACAUGCAUGAUCAAGAGUAUACACUUGCUAUUAUAUUAUGAAUUGAUGGGAAAAUAAGUCUGAACUUCACAAACAUCAAUAAACAUAUAUGACUUCUUAUCUACAUGCUUGAGCCCUUUAAGUUUUGAAUUGAGAAGUACUAUUAGACAAUGAGGACUAGCUUCAAUGUCUUACCAGGAAAAAAAGAAAAAGCUUCAAGAUAGAGGCCUAAUGCCUAAAAUUUAUCUUUGCAGCCCUCAAUCUGCCUCAAAAUUCUCAAGGCAAGAACACUCAACUUAGCUGGGAUUUUUUGACAUUUGAACUAGAACCGGAAGAUUGUGGGACUUGUGUCAAUGUCCUACUCUGAAAUUGGACCUCAAAUGUGAUCACAUCUUCAUCAAUGGCAACCAUGGUGAAGUUUGGAUUGGUGAUCUCGGAUUGGUGACGGUUCUAAGAGACAAGAGCUCAGAUUUUGAUUUGAUAAAUAUAUAUAUAUAUAUAUAUUCCUUUGGGAUGUGUAUGCUAGAGAUGGUGACUUUUGGGUUGCCUUACACUGAAUGUAAGAACCCAGCUCAGAUGUACAAGAAGGUUAUGGGUGGAAUAAGGCCAGAAGGGUUAGGAAGGAUCUUGAAGUGAGGAGGUUCAUUGAGAAGUGUUUUCUUCCAGCAGAGGAAAGGUUGUCUGCCAAGGAGUUCUUGAAGAACCCUUUUCUGCAAACUCAGGAUGGUCUGUGUGAUUACUCUGUCAGUUGUUACACUUCAAACCCAUAUGUGAAUAACUUCAUUUGUAUACAAGCAAUGUGAAUUGUUACAGUUCCUUCAAAUAUUUGUUUCUUUAAUUUUUUGGCAACCAUGUCAAAUUAACAUGGAUUAAGUACAUUGUGCAUUGCUUUCUU